GACGAACGCUGGCGGCGUGCUUAACACAUGCGAGUCGAACGGAAAGGCCUCUUUCGGGGGGUACUCGAGUGGCGAACGGGUGAGUAACACGUGAGUAACCUGCCCUUGACUUUGGGAUAACUUCAGGAAACUGGGGCUAAUACCGGAUAGGAGCUCCCGCUGCAUGGUGGGGGUUGGAAAGUUUCGGCGGUUGGGGAUGGACUCGCGGCUUAUCAGCUUGUUGGUGGGGUAGUGGCUUACCAAGGCUUUGACGGGUAGCCGGCCUGAGAGGGUGACCGGCCACAUUGGGACUGAGAUACGGCCCAGACUCCUACGGGAGGCAGCAGUGGGGAAUAUUGCACAAUGGGUGGAAGCCUGAUGCAGCAACGCCGUGUGCGGGAUGACGGCCUUCGGGUUGUAAACCGCUUUCGCUCAUGACGAAGCUUUGUGUGACGGUAGUGGGUAAAGAAGCACCGGCUAACUACGUG
Molecule: ribosomal RNA, 467 nt
Filed under: uncultured bacterium
Lineage: Bacteria
Description: partial 16S ribosomal RNA
Rfam family: Bacterial small subunit ribosomal RNA
Source: RNAcentral